This is a long non-coding RNA of Raphanus sativus (radish), 3360 nucleotides long. RefSeq lists it as uncharacterized. The transcript has 2 exons. NCBI's taxonomy places the organism in Eukaryota, Viridiplantae, Streptophyta, Magnoliopsida, Brassicales, Brassicaceae. The record is from RefSeq and is a predicted model, not a curated record.
UGGCAAUUUUUUAACCUGCCAGCGGCCCGGCCCGUUUGGACUUGUUGCAUGACAGGAUUGGUUACUAAGAUUCAGGCCCGAUUUUUUGGCGGGCCACGUGAGCUGAGAUUGUGAGAGAUUGGGCCAGAAGAGGGAUGAGAUCGGUGUUCUCCAUGGGACGUGCAGGGAUCCACACAGACAUCAUCACUUUGACUCUCGAGCUCUCACCGAUAAAAGAAACUAAGAGAAAUGGCGAGCACAAAAGUGAUCUCUUCCAGCUUUUUCUUCUUCUUAGAUCCGUCAAUUUCUGUCACAAAACUUCGCCAUGCAUGUUCUUCAUAUCCUCGUUUAAUCAAGGAAUAGUCUCUUCUCGGUUUCAUCUUCUUUCUUUCUUCAUAUCUUCGAUUCAUACGAUGAGAAAACAACUCAGCUUCUAAAUGUCACUAGCCAUCGAUUUGGAAAAGGGUCUCUGCUUAUUCAAAGCUCUGUUCACACUAACGGUCCCACCAUUGAUCUCGCCAUCAACAUCUCGUAUGUAACUCAUCUUAUGAUUGCAUCGACUAACUUGUUUGUUCUGCUUCUGGCCUUUGGUAAGAUCAUUUAACUUAUUUGUUCUGCUUCCUGCCUUUGUAGGUUUGCACAAAAACAUUUGUGUUUCUUUUUCUGAAGGAAGAACAUAAACAAAAAGUGAAUAUAUAUCAAUGCACUAAUAUUUGUCUCCUGUGAUGAUAAACAAAAUAUGUUUUUUGCUUCUUAUAUGCUGAGUUUCACCAGUAUUUGUCUAAAACUGCUAACAAACCAAUUUUGCUUGUAACAAUGAUUUAGAUUCCUUUAUGAUCAGUCAUGACUAAUGUUUGUAAACAAGUUUUGCUAAUGAAUAGUACUUGUAACUGGUGACCAAGAAUUGAAGAAUAGUUAUUCAUUUUCAUUCCUUUAAUUGUAAAAGAAUUAAAAAAACAAGUUUCUUACUUAUUAAAUUUGAUAUGGAAUAACCAUUCCUCAUCAUUCCCAAAAUUUUAUUAUCAUCCAUUCUUUUCCUAUUUGUUCAUAGUGUUCCCGAGAUGGUUACUAGUUAGACCCUAAGAUUUUUAAUAUUCAAAUUUUUUCGUUACCUAUUUUAAUACACCAAUUUUAUUUAUUUUAACUCAAAAUACUAAUACCUUUCAAAUGAAAUUAAAAUCUCCAAAUUUUAAGAAAAAAAUAAAAAAUUUCUACUUUUAUUUAAAGAUCUAAGAAAGAAGGUAAUAAAUUAGGGAAAAUUUUAUAAUUUAAUUUUAAAGGAAAAUAAGUAAUUUUGUUUUCUAAUUCAUAAAACAAACUACAAACUUUUAUUACAAAAUUGAAGAUUAUAAAAAAUUCAGUUUAUUUUAUAUUUCAAAUAUAAAAUAAAAUUAUAAAUUUUUAGAUUAUUUUGUAAAUUUAAAGAUUUUUUAAAUUUUUGUUUUAAAUCUAUUAGUAUUUUAAGCAAAUUUUGGGUGUUAAAAUGAACAUAUUUUUUUAAAAAUGUGUAUAUUAAAUGAGAAAAUAAUUAAUUUGGGUAGUAAAUUCGAUAACGAAAAAUUUAUAUAUCAAAAGACUUAACAAAAUUUAGUUGAGAUAUUUUAUGUAAUUUUUCCAUAUGUGAAUAUUUAAAUUCAUCUAUUACGUAUAAUAAAGGAAAAAUAUAUGAUAGACAAUAUGGAUUUCAAAAGUACAAGAAAUAAAGUUAACGAUUAACUUAUCAAAUAAAAUUUAAAAUUUAGAUAAUAUAAAUAUGUAUAAAUAUUUAAUUUUGAUGGGGGGAAUGAGAAGAAAUAAAACAAGAAACAUGAUAUACUUUAGUUUUUUCACUAAUUACCCCUAUCUUUCAAAGUGUUUGAAUUAGUGCGUAAGGGUAUAUCCAUAUUUUUACAACCUAACACAUUGCAUGAUUUUUUUCUAUUUGUUUCUUUAUUAAUCAUUAUUAUGAAAAAAAUAAUAUAUUGAAAGAUUCUUAUAUUAAUGGUGUUUAUCUAUCCAUUGCCUUUUCUUAUAAAAUAAUAAUAAUUAUGCGAAUAUUUCUUUUAGAAAUAUCAAAUGUAUUCUACCUAUUUAUGUUACAUAAAGUUUAAUCUUUUUUGUGCUGUGAGGCUUUCAAUAUAUGUAAUUUAUUCUUUCCAGAUUUUCUUGCUAUAUUCUCUACUUUUUAAUAUUUAAAUAAAAAUUAAAAGUAAGCAAAUAUAACUGUUAACAAGUCUGUUUAAAUGCAAAACAUAUUGUUUGAACUAAUUUCCAAAAUUUAUUAGAUAUUUGAAAAAAAAAAUUAUAAUUUUUUUUAAAUAAGAAAAUAAUGAAAAUUAGAACAGUAUAUAAAUUUUUGGUUAUAAAUAUAUUGUUUAAAUAAUUUUCUGCGGGGCCCAUAGGUUAUCAGCAAAAUUAAAUGGAUGCGAGUGUACUUUUUCUUCUUGUGAGUCAUGCAGAUCAAUUUUUGAGUCAAAAGAAUGACUUAACCCACGGCGGGCGGAUCUGGCACGGUGAAUUUGACCCGCUUUUCAACAUUAACGCUCUAUAAUUUGGAAUUCCGUAUGAUCUUUCAUAUUUUUAGUAAAGUUGAAUAAUAUAUAUAGACAUGAAAUUACAAAUAUUUUACACGUGUAAGUAAAAUUUGGAAGGAAAUGAAAAGGUAAAUCAAAAUCUAGUUAAAGUUAUAAGAGUUGAUAACUAUCUAAGACACUUUUGCCAAUUUUUUGACAUUCUAAGGCACAAUGUGCUUAAAGCACAUUCCCGAAUUCCAACACAUUUUAUGACUGAAAUGUCCCUGGUCCGCGAACUGGAGACAAGUUCAAUAAAUUCAUAUUUUAUUCUUUAGUUCAGUAACUUGCUGGAGUUAUAAAGGUAGGUGUAUGGAAUAGAGUGUCGAGUAUCAACCGUUAGAUUAAAAGUUUUUUAUUUAAACAGAUGGUCGAGAUGGAUUGUAGGGUUUGAGUACGAGAAAGUAGAGAUGGGUUUGUUCAUGUAAUAAAUGCGUCAAUGUUCUCUUGUUUUUUUGUGGGAUAAGCAAGGAUUCAGUGGUGAAGGCUUGGAAAGGUACAAACUUUAUGUUCUCUUGUUUGUAUGUUGGAUGAUGUCUGAUAAAGUGUUUUGUUUGUAUAUCUUUAGAAUAUCUGAUAUUUAUCAUUUGAAUUUUUUACAAUCAUCUGAUUCAUAUGUCCUGUGGUCAUGAAUAACUUUUGUGCAAACAUCGCUGUGGACAUGGAUGAGAUGGCUGACAUUUGUGCAAAUCAUUUGAAUUUGUACAAGCAGAGGAAAAAGAUGUUUUGUGGACGUGUACGACUUUUGAGCAAAAACCAUGAUACUAGUCAAGAAGGUUGCAAUGUAUGUUACUUAGCAUCUAGUUAAUGAUACAACUUUGAGUAGUGGAAA